UUACGGCCACAUCGCGUUGAAACAUCGGUUCCCGUUCGAUCCUCGAACCUAAGCAAUGUCGAAACGGAUCAGUACCUAGAUGGGUGAGGGCUUGGGAAUAUCGGGCGCUGUAAG
Molecule: non-coding RNA, 114 nt
Organism: Acanthosepion pharaonis
Lineage: Eukaryota; Metazoa; Mollusca; Cephalopoda; Sepiida; Sepiidae
Source: the annotation of a GenBank genome assembly